RNAcentral lists this transfer RNA (96 nucleotides) under Cucurbitaria berberidis CBS 394.84. It matches the Rfam family "tRNA". Rfam says of the family: Transfer RNA (tRNA) molecules are approximately 80 nucleotides in length. Their secondary structure includes four short double-helical elements and three loops (D, anti-codon, and T loops). Lineage: Eukaryota; Fungi; Ascomycota; Dothideomycetes; Pleosporales; Cucurbitariaceae. The record is from Rfam by way of RNAcentral.
GGGCUCGUGGUUUAGUGGUAUAAUACUCCCUUAGCAUCUCUAGCCUCCUGGAACAGCGAUUGGGAGUGGUCCGGGGUUCGAUUCCCCGCGAGUCCA